CCUACGGGAGGCAGCAGUGAGGAAUAUUGGUCAAUGGACGAGAGUCUGAACCAGCCAAGUAGCGUGAAGGAUGACUGCCCUAUGGGUUGUAAACUUCUUUUAUACAGGAAUAAAACGAGGCACGUGUGCCUUUUUGCAUGCACUUUAUGAAUAAGGAUCGGCUAACUCCGUGCCAGCAGCCGCGGUAAUACGGAGGAUCCGAGCGUUAUCCGGAUUUAUUGGGUUUAAAGGGAGCGUAGAUGGGUUGUUAAGUCAGUUGUGAAAGUUUGCGGCUCAACCGGAAAAUUGCAAUUGAUACUGGCAGUCUUGAGUACAGUUGAGGUAAGCGGAAUGCGUGGUGUAGCGGUGAAAUGCUUAGAUAUCACGAAGAACCCCGAUUGCGAAGGCAGCUUACUAAACUGUGACUGACAUUGAUGCUCGAAAGUGUGGGUAGCAAACAGGAUUAGAUACCCCAGUAGUC
This 460-nucleotide ribosomal RNA is filed under the name uncultured bacterium. RNAcentral's name for it is "partial 16S ribosomal RNA". It matches the Rfam family "Bacterial small subunit ribosomal RNA", at positions 338 to 795 of the family's 1533-position model. The record is from RNAcentral.